Triticum dicoccoides is the source of this 750-nucleotide long non-coding RNA. RefSeq lists it as uncharacterized. The transcript is spliced from 2 exons. The record is from RefSeq and is a predicted model, not a curated record. Lineage: Eukaryota; Viridiplantae; Streptophyta; Magnoliopsida; Poales; Poaceae.
UCUCCGACAAAAUUCGCUCGACCCCGGCCGAAACCCUAGCCGCCGGAGCGCCCGUGCAUCACGGCGGCAGCACGCGGCGGAGGCGGAGGCGACGCGCACAUCACCGGCUGGACGGCGAAAUUGCCGUUCUCCCCAAACCGGCGACGCGUGGGCGGCGUAAGACGGGAGGCACUGGCGGGCGGCGGGCGGCGGGCACUCGGCUUACGUGGAAUGGGGAAUGAAGCUGCGGUGGAUCAAGGAGUUGUACAACGGGCCAAAUGUCUGCGUCGAGCGGAGAUGGGCGUGAAGAGAGACAAGCGAUGCAUCCGCCCGUAGUGACGCAGCCGUUGAUAAGAUGGUGAUCCGCCAUGAUGCUCACGGGUUUCCAGGCUGGCGUCGACAGUACCUGGGUUCAUGUAAGCCACACCUGGACCACGAGGCAUCCAGCAAAGAUGGUUGACCUCCAGUCCCGUGGCGGUCCGGUGCGUGCGUUGCGGUGGAGAUGCCAUGCAUAUAUAGGAGGCAAAUUGGUCUCCCUACCUGUAGACUCAGGGGAGGCAGCCUGAGCGAUAUGAGGGCGGUCGGUUCGACUAGUUGGAUGGGCAUGCUUGAACUAACCGUAUGUUGCAUAUCUGUUGCGGCCUUACAACGGUUCUGUGAUUGUUCCCUUGAGGUUCUUCUUACCCUGUGAAAUCUGUUUACGCAAUUAUUUUGCUAAUAGAACAGUACAGUGGUACCCCUGCUGGGCAGCGAUGGCCUGCAGAUUUGCUC